This 433-nucleotide ribosomal RNA is filed under the name uncultured bacterium. RNAcentral describes it as "partial 16S ribosomal RNA". It matches the Rfam family "Bacterial small subunit ribosomal RNA", at positions 29 to 507 of the family's 1533-position model. The record is from RNAcentral.
AGCGAACGCUGGCGGCAGGCCUAACACAUGCAAGUCGAACGGAUCCUUCGGGAUUAGUGGCGGACGGGUGAGUAACACGUGGGAACGUGCCCUUUGGUUCGGAACAACUCAGGGAAACUUGAGCUAAUACCGGAUGUGCCCUUCGGGGGAAAGAUUUAUCGCCAUUGGAGCGGCCCGCGUCUGAUUAGCUAGUUUGUGAGGUAACGGCCCACCAAGGCGACGAUCAGUAGCUGGUCUGAGAGGAUGAUCAGCCACACUGGGACUGAGACACGGCCCAGACUCCUACGGGAGGCAGCAGUGGGGAAUCUUGCGCAAUGGGCGAAAGCCUGACGCAGCCAUGCCGCGUGAAUGAUGAAGGUCUUAGGAUUGUAAAAUUCUUUCAGCGGGGACGAUAAUGACGGUACCCGCAGAAGAAGCUCCGGCUAACUUCGUG